This 689-nucleotide long non-coding RNA is filed under the name Malus domestica (apple). RNAcentral describes it as "long non-coding RNA (MDOM_LNC015716)". The record is from RNAcentral. Lineage: Eukaryota; Viridiplantae; Streptophyta; Magnoliopsida; Rosales; Rosaceae.
AAAGCCGACAAGUCCACGUAACCACAAGGCUGUUAACCUUGGCUUUCUCCAAUUUCGUAGGUUGCAUAGCAAGUAUCACAACACUUUAGGACUUGGUGUAGGUUGUUCCGCACUUGGCAGAGGUGAAGCUUAUCGACUAUGUAACAUGUUGGCAAUGGAUAAAACUUCGUAUAUGCGUGCUAACUUGUUUAACCUUUCAUAAGAAUAUGUGGUUGUAUAAGUCUAGCGCGGCUUUACUGCUCAAAGGGCAAGCUGUAGGCAGUUUUCCAGAAACCGUAGGCAACCUUAAUGCACUUGGUAGCAGCUUUAGGGUUCCACGGCAGCCGUCUAUAGGGUGUACUGCAUAAUGUGCCCCCUUCGUCUCUAGGGCCCGGUUCCCCACGAAUUAGGCCAAGAGACCCAAAAUCCUUCAGUUAGCUAAGCCUUGAAAAAGACCAUUAUGGCUACUUUUAGGAAUCCCGACGCAAACCAUCGUGCAUCUAGUUAUACUAAGGCAGCCAGGCUUAUCCACGUCUGGAUAUUCGAAGUGUAAAGUUUAUCCUUCCGUCUUGGAGAGCUGAACUAUAUGGGUGUCGGGGAAUUGGUUUACCCUCUCGCACUAGAGAGCAAUUAGUUUACCCUCUCGCACUGGAGAGCAUGGUUGGUCCUUCGAGGGGCAUAAUUCCUACGACAAGUCCCUAAGAAGGGCG